This 509-nucleotide ribosomal RNA is filed under the name uncultured Pseudomonadota bacterium. RNAcentral's name for it is "bacterial SSU rRNA". It matches the Rfam family "Bacterial small subunit ribosomal RNA", at positions 392 to 896 of the family's 1533-position model. Lineage: Bacteria; Pseudomonadati; Pseudomonadota. The record is from RNAcentral.
CAAUGCCGCGUGUGUGAAGAAGGCCUUCGGGUUGUAAAGCACUUCGGUGGGACAAACAAGGCGGAGCUAACAUCUCCGUCCCUGAUGGUACCCAAAGAAGAAGCACCGGCUAACUCUGUGCCAGCAGCCGCGGUAAUACAGAGGGUGCAAGCGUUAAUCGGAAUUACUGGGCGUAAAGCGUGCGUAGGUGGUUUGUUAAGUCAGGUGUGAAAUCCUCGGGCUCAACCCGGGAACUGCGCUUGAUACUGACAGACUCGAGUGUGGUAGAGGAUAGUGGAAUUCCCGGUGUAGCGGUGAAAUGCGUAGAUAUCGGGAGGAACAUCAGUGGCGAAGGCGGCUAUCUGGACCAACACUGACACUGAGGUACGGAAGCGUGGGUAGCAAACAGGAUUAGAUACCCUGGUAGUCCACGCCCUAAACGAUGGGUACUAGACGUCGGGAAGCUUGUCUUCUUGGUGUCGCAGCUAACGCAAUAAGUACCCCGCCUGGGGAGUACGGUCGCAAGAUUA